Molecule: unclassified non-coding RNA, 697 nt
Filed under: Hevea brasiliensis (rubber tree)
Lineage: Eukaryota; Viridiplantae; Streptophyta; Magnoliopsida; Malpighiales; Euphorbiaceae
Source: RNAcentral
UUUCUUUCACAAAUUUUCUCAUUUUCAGAUGGUACAGGAGCUCGCUGAUGAGAAUGGCUGAAAGUCACAAACAACUGCAACAACAGAACAAGACAAAGACAAAUGAGCAAAUUGUGCUCAAAUUGUCUCUUCUGAGUUUUAUUUUUCAUUUUCAACAUACAUUACGCCGAGAAAGAAUGUUGCCUUUGGUGAUGGUCGAACAGACAAAAAUAAUCACAAGCAGUCCACACCAAAUAACAGUUUUAAUUCUUCCACCUUCAGACAGCAACAAACUGUAGGCAGCAUCUUAUCCAAACUGCUCAAAGCUGCUGACAAUUCUCAGAAUGGAAAUUAUCCUCAUAUUAUCUCUGAUCCAAAUCUGAAUAUCUACAUAAGGAGCCAUUCCCAUCCAUUGAUAAUGAUAUCAGCCUUCUUUCUUGGCCUAGCGAAAGUAUUUCUUGCAUCCUUUCUGGCCAAUCUGAAUUUAAUCUACGAGCAAAGUCCUCAACUUCCCUGUCAAGUUCCUCCUUCAUUGCAGGAUCUAAAUCAUCAUCAAUGUCAGCAUCAUCAAAAUCAAGCUUAGGUGAAAGUGCGGAAGAUCCAGAUUCUUGCAAUGUACUGGUAGAGGCAACCAAAUUAUCAUUAACCUCCCCAUUAUGGCAAGCAGAAGGGUAAGUGCUCAUCUCCUUCUUAUGGUUUUCAUUUAAAUUGUCUGAAG